UGUUUCUUAAGACUUCCAGCUUCAUCACGGAGUUUCUCUCGGUUUGUGGGCUCAUCUAAAGGACCUGCCCUUCCUGUCUGAAGCAGAGACCAGUGAGACCUAUUCCAGACUGUUUGAAAGUGUGGUGACUGUGAUAAAGAAAGAAAAAAUCAGCAAGAGAAUAAGGAGACUGACAAACAGGUGGAGGAAGAGAAUGCCACAGAGGAGGCUCAUCACCCACAACACUGUGCUCAAACACAGUGGUGUUUCUGAGUAGCUUUUCUGCUUAGCAAUUUAAUUUAAAUAGAUACAUCCCCUUUUCAUAGUAUAAUCUUAACGUGCUUCAUCUGAAUCACCCUUUCUGUGUGCU
Oreochromis niloticus (Nile tilapia) is the source of this 349-nucleotide long non-coding RNA. RefSeq lists it as uncharacterized. The record is from RefSeq and is a predicted model, not a curated record. Lineage: Eukaryota; Metazoa; Chordata; Actinopteri; Cichliformes; Cichlidae. The transcript has 3 exons.